UUGAGCAUGACGUCAUCGUCCUGUCGGGCGUCCUCACAAAUUACCUGCAUUCAGAGAUGCGUAUCGGCACAGGCCGGUAUGCGAAAGUCCCAUCAUGGGGCCUUAGCUCAGCUGGGAGAGCACCUGCUUUGCAAGCAGGGGGUCGUCGGUUCGAUCCCGACAGGCUCCACCAUUUGAGUGAAACGACUUUGGGUCUGUAGCUCAGGUGGUUAGAGCGCACCCCUGAUAAGGGUGAGGUCGGUGGUUCGAGUCCUCCCAGACCCACCACUCUGAAUGUAGUGCACACUUAAGAAUUUAUAUGGAUCAGCGUUGAGGCUGAGACAUGUUCUUUUAUAACUUGGGACGUAGCGAGCGUUUGAGAAUAUCUAUCUAAACGUGUCGUUGAGGCUAAGGCGGGACUUCGAGUCCCUAAAUAAUUGA
This 420-nucleotide transfer RNA is filed under the name Xanthomonas citri pv. malvacearum. RNAcentral describes it as "partial 16S-23S ribosomal RNA intergenic spacer". The stretch from base 191 to 264 matches the Rfam family "tRNA". The record is from RNAcentral. Lineage: Bacteria; Pseudomonadati; Pseudomonadota; Gammaproteobacteria; Lysobacterales; Lysobacteraceae.